RNAcentral lists this ribosomal RNA (253 nucleotides) under uncultured bacterium. RNAcentral's name for it is "partial 16S ribosomal RNA". It matches the Rfam family "Bacterial small subunit ribosomal RNA", at positions 524 to 776 of the family's 1533-position model. The record is from RNAcentral.
UACGUAGGGUGCAAGCGUUGUCCGGAAUUAUUGGGCGUAAAGAGCUCGUAGGCGGUCUGUCACGUCGGCUGUGAAAACACGGGGCUCAACUCCGUGCCUGCAGUCGAUACGGGCAGACUAGAGUUCGGCAGGGGAGACUGGAAUUCCUGGUGUAGCGGUGAAAUGCGCAGAUAUCAGGAGGAACACCGGUGGCGAAGGCGGGUCUCUGGGCCGAUACUGACGCUGAGGAGCGAAAGCAUGGGUAGCGAACAGG